Molecule: long non-coding RNA, 2014 nt
Organism: Equus caballus (horse)
Lineage: Eukaryota; Metazoa; Chordata; Mammalia; Perissodactyla; Equidae
Source: Ensembl
UGAAGCAGACAUCCCUGUCCUGGCCACGGAAGGCAGUAAAACGCAGCUCCACUGGGGCAGGCCGUGAGGGCUGUGCCAGAACAAGCAUCCAGAUUUUGGGGAUGGAGCCAGGCAGGGCGAGUUGUGGUCUCCAAGCUGCGCCCCCCCAACUCAGCCAACUGUCCCUGGGUGUCCACUCUGGGGUCUCCAGCUCCCCUCUUUGCCCCCACAAUUACAAAGAUGAUCUUACCGGCAGACCCAUCUCAGGACCUCACCUCCCCCAUCAGCGUACAGAAUUCAUCCACCACUGCUGCUGCUCCUCGGCUGGCCGGCUGGCUGACUGGCUCUUAUCUCAGCGGUGGCCAGGGGGUGGAGCAUAACUGACUCCCCCAGACCCAGCCGCCCCGACCCCGCAUUAUCUUGCCCCACAGCCUCCUCCCACCCCUGCAGCCGCCCAGACCUUCUGGGGCUCCUCUUCCCAGCAUCCUCUAGGCCUUGCUUUGUCUGCAGUUUUUUUUCCUGCCUCUCCCUGUCUGCCUUCUCUCCCUCCCCGGGGCGUUGUGGGGGGGUCCCAAGGCCGAGCUCUCUCCACUCCCAACACGUCAGCUGAGUGUCUCCUGCCAGAACUGGAGCCUGACCCUCUGCUUGCAGCUAAGGACCCAUCUCUGUGAAGUUUCUUCCACCCAGGGGCAGCUGGGCAGGGACACCUAGGUUGGAAUCCGGGAUCAGCACUUGCCAGCCAGGUAACCUCCAGCAACUGCUCUGCUUUGAGCUUCAGAUUCCUCUUUAAACUGUAUGAAGGUGCCACAAGGACUAAAGGAGAUGGAAGAACUCUGCCCCUGGCUUGUGCCUCCUGCUGGAAGGCUCCCCUCUCCUCCCACCUUUCCAGAGGCUGAAGGCACAUGCGCAUCCCCUGCCUCCAUCUGAGAGCCCUGGGCAAGCUUGGCCUCAACUCCCCCUGGGUAUAAAGACAGAGGCUGUGGAUCUGAUGUGGGCUUUGCCAAGAGUAUUUCUGUGAGAGUCAAUAAUCAGGCAAAUGGGUGAAGGGAGUGUGAGACCCAGAAAUGUAUUUUAUCGACCGCAGAAAUUAUUUACCUGGGUUGGAAAGAAUUCCUGAGACUGAAGCACUUAUUGUGCAUAGGGCUAGCCUGGCCCUUGCUCCACAGCUGGGCAACAACUUCCCCUUCUAGCCAGCGGGAUUCCCUGGGGGUAGAGGACCUGUCAAGAACCUGCAGGGCCUGCAAACUUGUUGCCUACCUAGCUCCACAGAGCUUCUAGGCCCGAGUUCUAUCCAGGUCUCCCUGGAUCUCAGAGAGACCUGGAAGAGGUCUUGAGACCUUCCAGCACCCCAGGACUUGGUGAGACACCCUCCCACUACUAACACCUAAACCAGCUUGGCCCAAUAGAUGAUGGAGUGCUGCCACCUGGUGGCCACCAGCAGCACAGUGCCCUCCAAGAUCCAGUCUCCAGGGCCAUAUCCCCUGUAUACCCCACCUGUCCCUUAGGGCAUUCAUCCCUCGGGAAUCAGGGUGGCUGGGCUCUGGGUGCCCUUGAGACCCCCAGCCAGAAUGUGCAUGCCUGGGGAGAUUAGCUCAGGCCUGGCUGCUCAUCUGGGCUUUGAAACUUGUUUGAUGCAUGGCCAUGACAGCUGCUCCUGGACGGCCCUCAAAGAGCCCUGCACAUUGUAACAGGUGUCCCAGCCAAGGGCAGGCUGGACUUGGGAUCCCUGGAGACUCCCUUUAGUUCAGCAAGAGACGUUUCCAAAUUCAGAAUUUGGGUCUCCGUGAUUGGGAAGUUUGCAUUGCUCUCACAGCAUCUCCAUGUCAGGCAUGUCUAAGAGUAACAGCAGCCCUGAGGGCAGGAAAGGACAUGGCAGGACACAACACACUCAUCCCCAGGCUUGGGGUUGGAGCAGACCCUGACCGGUUGGUGGGGGGUUGCCUGGGCCCUUGGGGCUUCAGCCUCGGGUCCUCACAGGGUGAGAGCCAUUCAGCACCAGCAGGAUUACCCAAAUAUGGUCUUGCAUGAGAUCUGA